This 498-nucleotide ribosomal RNA is filed under the name uncultured bacterium. RNAcentral's name for it is "partial 16S ribosomal RNA". It matches the Rfam family "Bacterial small subunit ribosomal RNA", at positions 30 to 523 of the family's 1533-position model. The record is from RNAcentral.
AUUGAACGCUGGCGGCAUGCCUUACACAUGCAAGUCGAACGGUAACAGGUCUUCGGAUGCUGACGAGUGGCGAACGGGUGAGUAAUACAUCGGAACGUGCCUAGUAGUGGGGGAUAACGACUCGAAAGAGUGGCUAAUACCGCAUGAGAACCACGGAUGAAAGCAGGGGAUCGCAAGGACUUGUGCUAACAGAGCGGCCGAUGGCAGAUUAGGUAGUUGGUGGGAUAAAAGCUUACCAAGCCGACGAUCUGUAGCUGGUCUGAGAGGACGAUCAGCCACACUGGGACUGAGACACGGCCCAGACUCCUACGGGAGGCAGCAGUGGGGAAUUUUGGACAAUGGGCGAAAGCCUGAUCCAGCAAUGCCGCGUGCAGGAUGAAGGCCUUCGGGUUGUAAACUGCUUUUGUACGGAACGAAAAGCCCCGGGUUAAUACCCUGGGGUCAUGACGGUACCGUAAGAAUAAGCACCGGCUAACUACGUGCCAGCAGCCGCAGUAA